UUGUUACUCAUUCCACCACGGGAGGCGAACGAAUGGCAGCCGACGAUGGAGAUCCGUUCGAGCAGGGGAAGCUCGCACGCUUCAACAAUGAGCCGCACGACAAUCCCUAUCCGGAAAACACCGAGCAGCACGAGCGCUGGGAGGCGGGCUACAGGUUUGUAGAGCAGGGUUUGAUGUCAGUCUGACCCUUUGCGUCGAAACGAAAAACGGCCGCCUUUGAGGGCGGCCGUUUUGCUUGAGGCGUUGUCCGACGUCAGUUGACGUCCAUCUUGAGGCCUUCCUUGUUGAUGAUGCCCGCGAACUUCUUGAUCUCGGCUUCGACGAAGGCGGUGUAUUGUUCCGGCGUUCC
Molecule: unclassified non-coding RNA, 349 nt
Filed under: Hevea brasiliensis (rubber tree)
Lineage: Eukaryota; Viridiplantae; Streptophyta; Magnoliopsida; Malpighiales; Euphorbiaceae
Source: RNAcentral